CGAGCGCUCCGCCCAGUCGCGGCUUGCGGACAAAUUGCGCCGCUCCAACCCAACCCCGCCUUGGGAGGCGAUAAUGAUGCUGCCUCCCCUCAUUGCGGCUUCGAAUCCACUCGCGUCACCGUCGUUGUUCCUCCCGUGCAUCGUGUAAGAGCUUCUCAGCGAGAUCCCCUUUUCAAGCUAGCUCCAAGUUGACUGAACGAGGCUAGCAGGCGGAGCAGUAUGACUUCACACAAUUCUAGAUCGAAGCGGAGAGCCCCUGCCUUCAAUCGCCAUCAGUAAAGGCCUAAAUCCCUCGUAGAUGCGACCAAGUUCCAGUCUCAACGGUGACCUCGAAUCCAUUACGCUGCAUCGGCUGACGGCAUCCGUCCUCCGGGAGCAUCAUUGCUGUGUCGCAGGGGCCGUUGUUCUUUGGUGUACUGGUGGCCCGUCGCAAGAUCCUACGCUAAAUAAAAAUUUUCUAAUUUAUCUCAUUUGAUGCUCCGGGCAUGGCUGUUGCCCUCUUGCCAUCUGUGCGCCGUUCUGAAUGGGCAUUCCUAGAUCAGCAGAGACAAAGAUUCUAAGUUUUCAGGUGAUGAGGCCUUUCUGUCGAGUUCUGUGCAAGAUGAGCUCACCUACGAGCAGCCAACGGGGGAAUUGUGCAUUGAUCUGAGUUCAAAACCAGCUGCCACUGAAUGAGAGAAGCUCUAAAUGAUUAUCUCAAAUUCCGGAUGUAAAUGUAUAUUGUUAAUGUUUGUAUUUGGCUAGAAAAAGCUAAUGUCCAUUAGUGUGCGAUGUUUCUAAAUUAUUGUACAAUAUACUUGAACCUUGUUGUUCCUAUUUGUAUCUCGAAAAAUUUAAUGUAUUAUGGUAAUCCACCAUAUCUAUACUGUAAACUCUGGAUUAGUGCGUCCAGUAGACAAAAACAAAGUUAUGACUUAUGUGGAUCACUAUGUUAUUGGCAAGCUAUAGCUCCCUUUCUUA
Long non-coding RNA from Panicum virgatum (switchgrass), 960 nucleotides. RefSeq lists it as uncharacterized. Lineage: Eukaryota; Viridiplantae; Streptophyta; Magnoliopsida; Poales; Poaceae. The record is from RefSeq and is a predicted model, not a curated record. The transcript is spliced from 5 exons.